AACGAACGCUGGCGGCAGGCCUAACACAUGCAAGUCGAACGCUCGUAGCAAUACGAGAGUGGCAGACGGGUGAGUAACACGUGGGAACCUUCCCUAUGGUUCGGAAUAGCCCAGGGAAACUUGGGGUAAUACCGGAUAAGCCCUUCGGGGAAAGAUUUAUCGCCAUUGGAUGGGCCCGCGUCGGAUUAGCUAGUUGGUGGGGUAACGGCCUACCAAGGCGACGAUCCGUAGCUGGUCUGAGAGGANGAUCAGCCACACUGGGACUGAGACACGGCCCAGACUCCUACGGGAGGCAGCAGUGGGGAAUAUUGGACAAUGGGCGCAAGCCUGAUCCAGCCAUGCCGCGUGAGUGACGAAGGUCUUCGGAUUGUAAAACUCUUUUGGCGGGACGAUAAUGACGGUACCCGCAGAAUAAGCCCCGGCUAACUUCGUGCCAGCAGCCGCAGUAAC
This 450-nucleotide ribosomal RNA is filed under the name uncultured bacterium. RNAcentral's name for it is "bacterial SSU rRNA". It matches the Rfam family "Bacterial small subunit ribosomal RNA", at positions 29 to 524 of the family's 1533-position model. The record is from RNAcentral.